RNAcentral lists this unclassified non-coding RNA (309 nucleotides) under Entoloma sp. RNAcentral describes it as "partial internal transcribed spacer region". The stretch from base 1 to 46 matches the Rfam family "Eukaryotic small subunit ribosomal RNA", at positions 1786 to 1831 of the family's 1831-position model. The record is from RNAcentral. Lineage: Eukaryota; Fungi; Basidiomycota; Agaricomycetes; Agaricales; Entolomataceae.
AAGUCGUAACAAGGUUUCCGUAGGUGAACCUGCGGAAGGAUCAUUAUUGAAUAAACUUGGUUGGGUUGUUGCUGGCUCUUAGGAGCAUGUGCACACUCACUCCAUUUUUAACCACCUGUGCACCUUGUGUAGAUCUGGACAACUCUCGGGGAAACUCGGUCAGAGAAUUGCUGUGCGUAAAAGCCAGCUUUUCUUGAGUUCAGAUCUAUGUCUCUAUAUACUCCAUAAGAAUGUAUCAGAAUGUUGUAUAUAGGCUUUUGUGCCUUUGAAACAAUAAAACAACUUUCAACAACGGAUCUCUUGGCUCUC